AUACGGAGGAGCCGAGCGUUAUCCGGAUUUAUUGGGUUUAAAGGGAGCGUAGGUGGAUUGUUAAGUCAGUUGUGAAAGUUUGCGGCUCAACCGUAGAAUUGCAGUUGAAACUGGCAGGCUUGAGUACAGUAGAGGUGGGUGGAAUUCCUGGUGUAGCGGUGAAAUGCUUAGAUAUCACGAAGAACGCCGAUUGUGACGACCCCUCGCGAAGCGGUAACUGACGCUGAGGAACGAAAGCGUGGGGAUCGAACAGGAUUAGAUACCCUGGUAGUCCGCACAGUAAACGAUGAAAACUUGUUGUCGGCGAUAUAAUGUCGGAGGCAAAGCGAAAGCGAUAAGUAUUCCACCUGGGGAGUACGCCGGCAACGGUGAAACUCAAAGGAAUUGACGGGG
RNAcentral lists this ribosomal RNA (393 nucleotides) under uncultured bacterium. RNAcentral's name for it is "partial 16S ribosomal RNA". It matches the Rfam family "Bacterial small subunit ribosomal RNA", at positions 523 to 918 of the family's 1533-position model. The record is from RNAcentral.